UUCAAUCUUUAUAUUGUGUGUAUGGAAAAUGAUAUGUUAGUAGAGGCAACACUCACUUCUCUGAUUCAUACAUUUCAAAAAGGGAUUAGUAUUUGCUAAGUGUAAUAAAGUGAAACAACCUCAUCAACUAAACCAACAACCCAAAAAAACAAAAAAGAACCUUGUAAAAACAUCAUAUUCUGAAGAAAAUACCAUUACCGCCAUAAACGGUAAAAAUCAGCUUCUUGAAAAUGUUAGGGUUUCGGAACCGGUUAUAAGGAGCAGCUUAAGAAGGAAGGCACUUUCCUUGAAUUGAUUACAAAAAGGAAUCUCUGUCAAUUGUAAACAUCGAAUAAAGGAGGAAAGAUGAAAUAACUCUGAUACAGAAAGAAACGAGAGAGAUUCGCAAGUGAGAAUAGAGAGAAUGAAAGCCAUUGAAGAAGAAAACAGAGGCAUCGAAAGAAGAGAGAAUAGAAAGGUAAGAAUGAGUGAGUGAUCGCCACUGAGAGACUAAGCGCGUGAUGGAGAGAGGAAGAGAGAAU
Molecule: long non-coding RNA, 521 nt
Filed under: Lupinus angustifolius (narrow-leaved blue lupine)
Lineage: Eukaryota; Viridiplantae; Streptophyta; Magnoliopsida; Fabales; Fabaceae
Description: long non-coding RNA (LANG_LNC001210)
Source: RNAcentral